CUAUUAUGAAUUCAAGACAAGCCGCUAUGGUGAAAUUGGUAGA
Molecule: transfer RNA, 43 nt
Filed under: Pachyptera kerere
Lineage: Eukaryota; Viridiplantae; Streptophyta; Magnoliopsida; Lamiales; Bignoniaceae
Description: partial tRNA-Leu
Source: RNAcentral